This 213-nucleotide ribosomal RNA is filed under the name uncultured Lactobacillus sp. RNAcentral describes it as "partial 16S ribosomal RNA". It matches the Rfam family "Bacterial small subunit ribosomal RNA", at positions 149 to 354 of the family's 1533-position model. The record is from RNAcentral. Lineage: Bacteria; Bacillati; Bacillota; Bacilli; Lactobacillales; Lactobacillaceae.
CCUGGAAACAGAUGCUAAUACCGGAUAACAACAGAUGAUGCCUAUCAACUGUUUAAAAGAUGGUUCUGUUAUCACUCUUGGAUGGACCUGCGGUGCAUUAGCUAGUUGGUAGGGUAACGGCCUACCAAGGCGAUGAUGCAUAGCCGAGUUGAGAGACUGAUCGGCCACAUUGGGACUGAGACACGGCCCAAACUCCUACGGGAGGCAGCAGGG